GACGAACGCUGGCGGCGUGCUUAACACAUGCAAGUCGAGCGGAAAGGCCCUGCUUUUGUGGGGUGCUCGAGUGGCGAACGGGUGAGUAACACGUGAGUAACCUGCCCUUGACUUUGGGAUAACUUCAGGAAACUGGGGCUAAUACCGGAUAGGAGCUCCUGCUGCAUGGUGGGGGUUGGAAAGUUUCGGCGGUUGGGGAUGGACUCGCGGCUUACCAGCUUGUUGGUGGGGUAGUGGCUUACCAAGGCUUUGACGGGUAGCCGGCCUGAGAGGGUGACCGGCCACAUUGGGACUGAGAUACGGCCCAGACUCCUACGGGAGGCAGCAGUGGGGAAUAUUGCACAAUGGGCGGAAGCCUGAUGCAGCAACGCCGCGUGCGGGAUGACGGCCUUCGGGUUGUAAACCGCUUUCGCCUGUGACGAAGCGUGAGUGACGGUAAUGGGUAAAGAAGCACCGGCUAACUACGUG
This 468-nucleotide ribosomal RNA is filed under the name uncultured bacterium. RNAcentral describes it as "partial 16S ribosomal RNA". It matches the Rfam family "Bacterial small subunit ribosomal RNA", at positions 28 to 507 of the family's 1533-position model. The record is from RNAcentral.